GAUGAACGCUGGCGGCGUGCUUAACACAUGCAAGUCGAACGGAAAGGCCCAAGCUUGCUUGGGUACUCGAGUGGCGAACGGGUGAGUAACACGUGGGUGAUCUGCCCUGCACUUCGGGAUAAGCCUGGGAAACUGGGUCUAAUACCGGAUAGGACCACUUCUUGGAUGUUGUGGUGGAAAGUUUUUUCGGUGUGGGAUGAGCUCGCGGCCUAUCAGCUUGUUGGUGGGGUAAUGGCCUACCAAGGCGUCGACGGGUAGCCGGCCUGAGAGGGUGUACGGCCACAUUGGGACUGAGAUACGGCCCAGACUCCUACGGGAGGCAGCAGUGGGGAAUAGUGCACAAUGGGCGCAAGCCUGAUGCAGCGACGCCGCGUGGGGGAGGACGGCCUUCGGGUUGUAAACUCCUUUCGCUAGGGACGAAGCGUUUUGUGACGGUACCUGGAGAAGAAGCACCGGCUAACUACGUG
RNAcentral lists this ribosomal RNA (467 nucleotides) under uncultured bacterium. RNAcentral describes it as "partial 16S ribosomal RNA". It matches the Rfam family "Bacterial small subunit ribosomal RNA", at positions 28 to 507 of the family's 1533-position model. The record is from RNAcentral.